This is a long non-coding RNA of Hibiscus syriacus, 1200 nucleotides long. RefSeq lists it as uncharacterized. NCBI's taxonomy places the organism in Eukaryota, Viridiplantae, Streptophyta, Magnoliopsida, Malvales, Malvaceae. The transcript has 3 exons. The record is from RefSeq and is a predicted model, not a curated record.
UCUUUUUAUUCCAAUAUUUAUUUCCUUUUUUCACCCUUUUUUAAUCAUCAUUUCUCUCUGAUUUUUGGCUCCCGAUUUCAAUUUCGCCGAUUCAUUACUACGCCACCAACGGCCAACCUGCCGGCGCCGGCGGAAUUCCCUGGGUUUUUUCUUCUUCUCCUACACGCCAGAUCCGCUUAAUCGUCAUCAAGGGUAGUUUGGUUCGGUUUGUUGUGAUCAAAGGAGUGUUGAAAAGAGAAGAAAAAAAAGGUGUUGUCGGGGUGCCCCAGAUGAGAACUGAUGUUAUUGACAGUAGAAGGAGGGUUCUUCUCUUCUUCAGCGUCUGGGUAUAGGAAGGGUUUGACCCUUCUUCUCUUGGGUCAGAAGCACGAGGACAGGUCCAUGAGAGUUUCACCGUGGAACCAUUUCCAGUUGGUAGACCGAGAACCUGACCCUGACCUCCAACUGGCUUCCAUCAAGAAUCGGCUUCCCUGCGGGUGCGCCUCUUUUGUCUGCUUUCGUCGCACUUCUGCAGGGCUUGAAACACCGUCACCUUUGAAAAUUGGUCCUGUUCUACAGCAGGAUGUCUUGCCGGACUCUUGCGUUGUAGAUAAGGGUAACGAUCAAGCAAAUGAGCUUGAUGAUGGCAAUAUCAAUGUAAGAAAGGUUGUUUUGAAAAGUAGUUUGAAGAAGCAAUUAAGUAGUGCUCAGUUUCUCUCGAGGGUGUUAAUGAUCGUGAGGCAUUGGGGGACAGGAUGACGAUAACCCGAGUCAUACAGAACUAAAAGGUGCACUGGACUGAUGCUUAUGGGAGUGAGCUUGCUGAAAUCAGGGAAUUUGAGCCCAGUGAAACGGGUGGAUCAGAUGAUGAAUUCAGUAACGGAGUCGAAAAAACUUGUGCAUGUACAAUUAUGUAGUUCGGCCAUUAUUUUGAGCUCUAAUGAUGCAAUCAGGUAGAAGUCACUUGCUAACGAGUUUAAUCUUUAUGUUAGAAAUGUUGAGUUGAUUUGUGAGGAAAAAAAAAGAAGCAAGUGUUUUCUUUUGUUGUUCUACAUUGAAAAUGGAAUGCUUCCAAUUGAGAGGAGCUUUCUUUGUGGGCCAGCUUAGUUUGACUCAUCUUUUGUGUCUAUAUGUAAUAUAUAUAUAUAUUAUUUGAGAUUUCAAUUUUGUCAUCGUCACUUUUUUUUCUUUCUAAUAUCAUGAUUAUGUUUAUUAUUCUUG